GCCAAGAAAAGAAGCUGAGCUCAUAAUGAUGAUGGCUACGAUGAUCUCAGUCUGCAACCCCUUUGUUUAUCCUUGAAAUGGAUGGAGGAAUCCUCUUCAAGCUACGAGGGUGUGCGUUGAGUCGCCACUUUCGCUUGCGAUCGACGUCGACUUCUCCUUCGCGCUCCCCGAGGCGCCUACCACGACCAUGAUCCUAUGCCUUAAACCCUCCUCGGAUCUCAGCCGCAGAUCCACCAGACUCUCUUGCUUUUCCCAUGGAUGCCGCCGCUUCUCGUCCCGCUGUAGUCAUCGACAACGGUACCGGGUAUACCAAGAUGGGGUUCGCCGGUAACGUCGAGCCAUGUUUUAUCGUCCCGACUGUUGUUGCCGUUAAUGAGUCCUUCUCGAAUCCAUCGAGGAGUUCUGGGAAGAGCAAUUGGCUUGCACAGCACAGUGCGGGUGUCAUGGCCGAUCUUGAUUUCUUUAUUGGAGAGGAAGCUCUAGCUCGAUCUCGAUCAAGUAAUACCUAUAAUCUUAGUUAUCCUAUUCGUCAUGGUCAGGUGGAGAAUUGGGAUGCCAUGGAACGUUUUUGGCAACAGUGUAUAUUCAAUUACUUACGUUGUGACCCAGAGGAUCAUUACUUCCUUCUGACCGAGAGUCCACUCACUGCUCCCGAGAGCCGAGAGUACACCGGCGAGAUUAUGUUCGAGACCUUUAAUAUUCCUGGCCUUUAUAUCGCGGUACAACCAGUGCUUGCUCUUGCCGCUGGAUACACAACUUCUAAGUGUGAAAUGACAGGAGUUGUGGUGGACGUUGGAGAUGGAGCUACUCAUGUUGUGCCUGUUGCAGAUGGUUAUGUUAUUGGGAGCAGCAUCAAAUCUAUUCCUAUUUGUGGGAAGGAUGUUACUCUCUUCGUUCAGCAGCUCAUGAGGGAAAGAGGAGAGCAUGUUCCAGCAGAAGACUGCUUUGAAGUAGCUCGAAAGGUGAAAGAAAUGUAUUGCUACACUUGUUCUGAUAUUGUCAAGGAGUAUAAUAAGCAUGAUCGAGAACCAUCUAAGUACAUCAAGCAAUGGAAAGGCACUAAACCCAAAACAGGGGCUCCAUACUCUUGUGAUGUUGGCUAUGAACGCUUUCUUGGCCCUGAGAUUUUCUUUAAUCCUGAGAUUUACAGCAGUGACUUUACUACCCCCUUGCCUGCUGUAAUAGAUAAGUGCAUUCAGUCAGCACCAAUUGACACUAGAAGGGCUCUUUAUAAGAACAUAGUGUUAUCUGGGGGUUCGACCAUGUUCAAGGACUUCCAUAGAAGAUUGCAACGAGAUCUAAAGAAGAUUGUUGAUGCUCGGGUCAUUGCAUCUGAUGCCCGUCUUGGUGGAGAAGUAAAAGCACAACCAGUUGAAGUGAAUGUUGUCAGCCAUCCAAUCCAGCGGUUUGCAGUAUGGUUUGGAGGCUCCGUACUUGCAUCAACACCUGAAUUUUAUGCUGCGUGCCAUACAAAAGCGGAAUAUGAGGAGUAUGGAGCGAGCAUAUGUCGCACGAAUCCUGUUUUCAAGGGAAUGUAUUAAAAAAGGGAUACACUCUAUCUUUGCCAUUCACUUCUUUUGGAGCCAUCCCCAAGGGCAGGUGUUUGAUGAAGUGGACUUGUUAUUCACCUCUGCCGCCAAUGUGGGCCCUGGUUUCUCUGCAGACUUCGAAGCCCCUCGAUAUCAAGUCGAUACAACACCCUUCUGAGUUUUAACUCCAUGGUUGGCAUCUGUUAAUUACAAGUAGAAGAUGAAGGGGAGGAAGAAGAAUUGCUACAAGUAUAUUUCUUGACAAAAACAAAGCUUUUAAAACAGACUUGUCGAAUAUUUCCCAUUAGGACAUAUUUAGAGGUAGAAAAUUGAAAUCUAAAUUUGGUCAGAAAGCUGUGGGUUUCCAAAGAUGAUAUUGGAGAGUUGCUUCCAUUAAGCCAUGCAUCAUUUUAUACGAGGAUGACUUUCUUAGGUUCUGUUUGUCUGCAGUGCAUAUCAUCUGAAUCAGAUAUAAAUUUCACAUU
Molecule: RNA transcript, 2014 nt
Organism: Nelumbo nucifera (sacred lotus)
Lineage: Eukaryota; Viridiplantae; Streptophyta; Magnoliopsida; Proteales; Nelumbonaceae
Gene: DIS1
Gene name: Actin-like ATPase superfamily protein
Source: RefSeq, a predicted model, not a curated record